RNAcentral lists this ribosomal RNA (300 nucleotides) under uncultured Ascomycota. RNAcentral describes it as "SSU rRNA". It matches the Rfam family "Eukaryotic small subunit ribosomal RNA", at positions 66 to 370 of the family's 1831-position model. Lineage: Eukaryota; Fungi; Ascomycota. The record is from RNAcentral.
UAAGCAACUAUACGGUGAAACUGCGAAUGGCUCAUUAAAUCAGUUAUCGUUUAUUUGAUAGUACCUUACUACAUGGAUAACCGUGGUAAUUCUAGAGCUAAUACAUGCUAAAAACCCCGACUUCGGAAGGGGUGUAUUUAUUAGAUAAAAAACCAAUGCCCUUCGGGGCUCCUUGGUGAAUCAUAAUAACUUAACGAAUCGCAUGGCCUUGCGCCGGCGAUGGUUCAUUCAAAUUUCUGCCCUAUCAACUUUCGAUGGUAGGAUAGUGGCCUACCAUGGUUUCAACGGGUAACGGGGAAU